UACGUAGGGGGCAAGCGUUGUCCGGAUUUAUUGGUCGUAAAGGGCGCGUAGGCGGCCUGGCAAGUGGAAGGUGAAAUCCCUCGGCUUAACCGAGGAACUGCCCUCCAAACUGCUUGGCUUGAGACCGGGAGAGGUGAGUGGAAUUCCCAGUGUAGCGGUGAAAUUCGUAGAUAUUCGGAAGAACACCAGUGGCGAAGGCGGCUCACUGGACCGGCAUUGACGCUGAGGUGCGAAAGCGUGGGGAGCAAACAGG
RNAcentral lists this ribosomal RNA (253 nucleotides) under uncultured bacterium. Its description in RNAcentral is "partial 16S ribosomal RNA". It matches the Rfam family "Bacterial small subunit ribosomal RNA", at positions 524 to 776 of the family's 1533-position model. The record is from RNAcentral.